Molecule: ribosomal RNA, 420 nt
Filed under: bacterium
Lineage: Bacteria
Description: partial 16S ribosomal RNA
Rfam family: Bacterial small subunit ribosomal RNA
Source: RNAcentral
UGGGGGAUAUUGCACAAUGGGCGAAAGCCUGAUGCAGCGACGCCGCGUGGGGGAUGAAGGCUUUCGGGUUGUAAACCUCUUUCGCUAUCGAACAAGGCCCGCUUAGGGUGGGUUGAGGGCAGGUGGAGAAGAAGCGCCGGCUAACUACGUGCCAGCAGCCGCGGUAAUACGUAGGGCGCGAGCGUUGUCCGGAAUUAUUGGGCGUAAAGGGCUUGUAGGCGGCUUGUUGCGCCUGCUGUGAAAACGCGGGGCUUAACUUCGCGCGUGCAGUGGGUACGGGCAGGCUUGAGUGUGGUAGGGGUGACUGGAAUUCCAGGUGUGGCGGUGGAAUGCGCAGAUAUCUGGAGGAACACCGAUGGCGAAGGCAGGUCACUGGGCCAUUACUGACGCUGAGGAGCGAAAGCAUGGGUAGCGAACAGG